UGAGCUUUCUUUGCCUCGGGUACUUACAAUCCACUGCUGAUUAUACAUUCAGCUUCUCUGCCCGGAGCGAAGCGAAAGAGGAAGCAGAUGGGAGCAAAGCGCCCACGGCUCUGAGCAGGCAAGCGUCUGGGAGUUAUGCGUCUCUUUUUCAAUCUCUUUGUUCUUCCUGCUGCUUGGCAAAGUGGUCCGCUACAGAUUAACGGUGAAAGGAGCUCUAAGAAGCUGCGCAAAAUCUCGAUUAAAGCUGUUGCUCUGAGCACCACGCUCAGCACUUCAGCAACCCCCGUAUGCAGCGGCCAUCUUCUUGCUAUCUGCUUCUUCUCCUAUUUACCACUCUUGAAGGAGAGACUUUGCUUAUUUUCCUCCUCCUCUAAGUUCAAUACUUGCCACAUAGUGGACAUUUAACUAACAUUGGGAACUUUUUAUUUUUAAAAAAAUUUCUUGACCCAUAUAUGUACACUCUUUUUAACCAUGAAUAUGCAGGUAAAAAUCAAGCAAGCAUUAAUUUAUAAACAUGAAGUGUUUGGGUCUGUUUAGUGAUAGAAUAGGUACUUUUUUACAACAACAUUGCCCUAGUAUUAAAGGAAGCAUAUUAUAUCUUUAUUUAUCCUAUGCUAAUGGUAAAUUUUAAUCAACAUACUCUGAUUUAACAAAAGAUACAAGUAAGUGUUAAUGUGCUGAGAUAUAUAAAAUAACAGAAUUGACUACCUUAUAGUGUUCAUGUGAGCAUUAAAUAAGGUAUGAAUGUGUAGUACUAAAAACAAUGCCUGUCACAUAAAACCCCCUCACCAAGAGUUAACGACUACUAAUAGCUGAUCACAUGCAUUCCCCACUGACGUCAACAUUUCUAAGUGGAAACCAUAUCAAUGGUAAAAGUUGUCAUUAUUAGGGUUACUAAAGAUAAAACAUGUCCCAUGUUCAAAAUAAUUUAGAUGCCAAAUUCAUAUAUCUUAUUAAAAUAUGAUGAUAUCUUGUUUUUAAAGAGGCAAAGGCCAUAAUGUCCAUUCAUAGAGUGAUUUCAUUCUCAUUAAACAUAAUAAGGCUCAACUUUAAAAAUCAAAAGUUAAGAUUUUGAGAAAUUCAACAAAAGGAAAAGGAAUAGAUUCAGGAAAUACAUUACCAGAUAUGUGACAUUGAUUCCUAGAAGAAAAACAUAAGUAAUUAACUACAUCACUGAUAGUAUUGCAAAGAGUAUGCAGUAAAGACUGAAGAUAAUAAGUCAUGUUCAAUGCAGUGCCAAAAAAUUUUUUUAAAGAGUUUCAACUUUGAAGAGGCUAUAAGAUACAUGAUUCUGACAGACUUCUAAGACAGAUAAAGUUGUGAAAUGUGCUGUGGAUGAUAGUGCUCUUGGGUAGAUUAAUUGUUGGUUGUCAGUUAAAUACUGUACAGGAUUGAUUAAUAGCUUGAGAUCAAUCUGGAAACAACUCAAAGGAAGUUGAAGAUUCCAGUUCUAUUUUUUUUUUUGAUAAAUAACAUGGGUGAAGAUACAGAAGCCAGUUUAUCAAUGUUGUAGAUAACAGAUGGUUGUUACAGAAUAAAAAUUAUUUUGAUGUGUUGAAUAGAAGAAACC
RNAcentral lists this long non-coding RNA (1570 nucleotides) under Marmota monax (woodchuck). Lineage: Eukaryota; Metazoa; Chordata; Mammalia; Rodentia; Sciuridae. The record is from RNAcentral.